AGUGAACGCUGGCGGUAGGCCUAACACAUGCAAGUCGAACGGCAGCACAGAGGAGCUUGCUCCUUGGGUGGCGAGUGGCGGACGGGUGAGGAAUACAUCGGAAUCUACUUUUUCGUGGGGGAUAACGUAGGGAAACUUACGCUAAUACCGCAUACGACCUACGGGUGAAAGCAGGGGAUCUUCGGACCUUGCGCGAUUGAAUGAGCCGAUGUCGGAUUAGCUAGUUGGCGGGGUAAAGGCCCACCAAGGCGACGAUCCGUAGCUGGUCUGAGAGGAUGAUCAGCCACACUGGAACUGAGACACGGUCCAGACUCCUACGGGAGGCAGCAGUGGGGAUUAUUGGACAAUGGGCGCAAGCCUGAUCCAGCCAGACCGCGUGGGUGAAGAAGGCCUUCGGGUUGUAAAGCCCUUUUGUUGGGAAAGAAAUCCAGCCGGCUAAUACCUGGUUGGGAUGACGGUACCCAAAGAAUAAGCACCGGCUAACUUCGUGCCAGCCGCCGCCGUAA
This 506-nucleotide ribosomal RNA is filed under the name uncultured bacterium. RNAcentral describes it as "partial 16S ribosomal RNA". It matches the Rfam family "Bacterial small subunit ribosomal RNA", at positions 29 to 523 of the family's 1533-position model. The record is from RNAcentral.